AUCAGUUGAUGAGUCCCAAAUAAGAUGAAAUACGUGUCCUAGAU
Molecule: non-coding RNA, 44 nt
Filed under: Schistosoma margrebowiei
Lineage: Eukaryota; Metazoa; Platyhelminthes; Trematoda; Strigeidida; Schistosomatidae
Source: RNAcentral